CGGGGUCUUGUUUCGUUGGUUUGGAGGGCCAUCUGUGAUGAUUGAUAGGAACAGUCAGGAGGCUUGAUAUUCGGAAGUCAGAGGUGAAAUUCUUAGAUUUCCCGAGGAUCAACUAGUGCGAAGGCAUUGCCUAGGGAUGUUUUCAUUGAUCAAGAACGAAAGUCGGGGGUUCGAAGACGAUCAGAUACCGUCGUAGUCUCGACCGUAAACCAUGGUAGCUCGCGGUGUUUUGUGUAUCUUUCUUUACGAUGGCACGGGACGAAGCGUGUGGAAACUAAAGCGUUUGACCCCCUGGGGGACUAUGGUCGCAAGGCUGAAACUUGAAGAAAUUGACGGAAGGGCACCACCAGCGGUGGAGCCUGCGGCUCAAUUUGACUCAACACGGGGAAA
Molecule: ribosomal RNA, 390 nt
Filed under: Eukaryota sp.
Lineage: Eukaryota
Description: SSU rRNA
Rfam family: Eukaryotic small subunit ribosomal RNA
Source: RNAcentral